Molecule: ribosomal RNA, 497 nt
Filed under: uncultured bacterium
Lineage: Bacteria
Description: partial 16S ribosomal RNA
Rfam family: Bacterial small subunit ribosomal RNA
Source: RNAcentral
GAUGAACGCUGGCGGCGUGCCUAAUACAUGCAAGUCGAGCGAAGAGAUGAGGAGCUUGCUCCUCUGACGUUAGCGGCGGACGGGUGAGUAACACGUGGAUAACCUACCUAUAAGACUGGGAUAACUUCGGGAAACCGUAGCUAAUACCGGAUAAUAUAUUUAACCGCAUGGUUCAAUAGUGAAAGACGGUUUUGCUGUCACUUAUAGAUGGAUCCGCGCCGCAUUAGCUAGUUGGUAAGGUAACGGCUUACCAAGGCAACGAUGCGUAGCCGACCUGAGAGGGUGAUCGGCCACACUGGAACUGAGACACGGUCCAGACUCCUACGGGAGGCAGCAGUAGGGAAUCUUCCGCAAUGGGCGAAAGCCUGACGGAGCAACGCAGCGUGAGUGAUGAAGGUCUUCGGAUCGUAAAACUCUGUUAUUAGGGAAGAACAAAUGUGUAAGUAAAUAUGCACGUCUUGACGGUACCUACUCAGAAAGCAACGGCUAACUACGUG